AGAGUUUGAUCCUGGCUCAGGACGAACGCUGGCGGCGUGCUUAACACAUGCAAGUGGAGCGACGAACCCGGGCUUGCCCGGGGGCAGAGCCGCGAACGGGUGAGUAACACGUGGGUAACCUACCUAGAUGACCGGGACAACCCGAGGAAACUCGGGCUAAUACCGGAUGUGCUCCUUCCCUUCAAGGGGAAUGAGGAAAGAUAGCUUCGGCCUUCGCAUCUAGAUGGGCCCGCGGCCCAUUAGCUUGUUGGUGAGGUAACGGCUCACCAAGGUUUCGAUCGGUAGCUGGUCUGAGAGGACGAUCAGCCACACUGGGACUGAGACACGGCCCAGACUCCUACGGGAGGCAGCAGUGGGGAAUUUUCCGCAAUGGGCGAAAGCCUGACGGAGCAAUACCGCGUGAGGGAGGAAGGCUCUUGGGUUGUAAACCUCUUUUCUCAGGGAAGAAUGAUGACGGUACCUGAGGAAUAAGCAUCGGCUAACUCCGUGCCAGCAGCCGCGGUAAUACGGAGGAUGCAAGCGUUAUCCGGAAUGAUUGGGCGUAAAGCGUCCGCAGGUGGCAAUGUAAGUCUGCUGUCAAAGCGUCUGGCUCAACCAGAUAAAGGCAGUGGAAACUACAUAGCUAGAGUAAGGUAGGGGUAGAGGGAAUUCCUGGUGUAGCGGUGAAAUGCGUAGAGAUCAGGAAGAACACCGGUGGCGAAAGCGCUCUGCUGGACCUUAACUGACACUGAGGGACGAAAGCUAGGGGAGCGAAUGGGAUUAGAUACCCCCGUAGUCC
RNAcentral lists this ribosomal RNA (778 nucleotides) under uncultured cyanobacterium. Its description in RNAcentral is "bacterial SSU rRNA". It matches the Rfam family "Bacterial small subunit ribosomal RNA", at positions 8 to 796 of the family's 1533-position model. Lineage: Bacteria; Bacillati; Cyanobacteriota. The record is from RNAcentral.